Long non-coding RNA from Mytilus trossulus (common blue mussel), 2908 nucleotides. RefSeq lists it as uncharacterized. NCBI's taxonomy places the organism in Eukaryota, Metazoa, Mollusca, Bivalvia, Mytilida, Mytilidae. The transcript has 3 exons. The record is from RefSeq and is a predicted model, not a curated record.
UUGUGACAGAUAUUUGAACUACAUUUUGGACAUAGCUGAUGUUAAAAUUAUUAAUUAAAUUUUAUUUAAAUAAGAAAGGUAUUGAUUAUCUUAAUCAAUAUGUAUACCGUUAGAUAAUGCAAACAAUUCUCUGGUCAUUUAAAGAUUAUUUGUUAUCACCAAAGUCAAAUUGACCUCUCUAUCAUAUAUGUAACAUCUACUUAUGCAACAUUUUGACCUUAUUUCGGACAGUAAACUUAGAGAUAAUUUCUAAUCAAAUCGUGACAAAGAAAGCCACGUUGGCAUAACAUCAAUUUAAUGAUUGCUAUAUAAGUAGAAAUUCUGCUUUGAGACGUCAAAGUUUGAAUUUUGAAACUUAUAGGUGUCAGUCGAUCCCGGCCUGCCUUUACAUCGGCAACAACGCCCGGCCUGCCUUUACAGCGGCAGCAAUGCCAUGUACCAUCCAAGGCAUUGUCCACGACUAGUUUCCACAAAAUGUAAAAUCCAGAACCCACUCUCACACAUGUAGUUCGUCUGUCGAGAGGCCGAGGGAAAGCAGAUAAUGUUACAGAUCCCGAAUUAUCAACCAUCUAUUUUUUGUUAUAAUAUAUGGUGGACGACCUUUUCAACGCUGACACCUACAUUAACAUCUAAACCUAAAGCAUGCCAGAAACUUCGACAGUGUUUCGACAAUUAGAAUAGAAGAUUUACAGUUGGAUAUUAUUUUUGUAUCAUUCGGACUUUUUAAUUCUACAUAUUUCCAGUAGAUGAUAUAUCUGUGAAUAAUGAAAAUACACCAUUGAACAAAAACAUCAGCUGAUUAUCAAAGAACAUUUUAUUAUACGUGAACAUUUAUCAACAUCAGUGACAUUAAUAGUAAAUUUAUAUUAUUGUGUAUUUCAAUUGUAAACAUAUAUUUUCAUGAAACUGUGAGUACAUCAAAAGCUUACUUUUAAAAUCUAAAAUUUUAAUUUAAAUAAAUUUUAAGCUAUGAAACAAAAUGUUCAUUUUCAUUUCACAAAUCGUAUUGCGUUUCAUGUCUUAAAAUUUCAAGAAAAACUUUUCUAAAAAAACUGUCUAAAUACAUGUAAGUUAUAAAAUUAUGUUUUUUAUAAAGUGUUGUAAAAUUUUAUUCAUUUAAAUCAUCCAUUGAAUAACUUUUCAGAAUGAUGUUAAUUAGAACUGAAUGUUUGUAUUUCAAACGCAUGUCAAUAUUAAUAUUUGCAAUGAGUCGUCUUUAAGAAUAGGUUUAAACUUCAUUAAGAGUUACGUAACGUAAAUAUCCUUGUUUGUAAGUUACCUAUUAGGAACAAGUUAGUCAAAUUCUUGUUGCCGUUUACUGUACAUUUUUGAAAAAUCAGAGUUAUAAUAGUUUAAUAUAUACAUAUAUAGGCAAGCAUAAUGCUCAGGCUACCUGAAUAACAGGAACGCCACAAAUAGUAGUUAAUGGGUCACCUCAGGAGCAGGGACGCCACAAAUAAUAGAUAUAAUGGGUUACCUCACAAGAAGGAACGCCAUACAAAAUAUGCGCAUGGGUCACCUCAGGAGCAGGGACGCCACAAAUAAUAGAUAUAAUGGGUUACCUCAAGAGAAGGAACGCCAUCAAAAAUAAAUGCAUGGGUCACCUCAGGAGCAGGGACGCCACAAUCAAUUGACAAAUGGGUUACCUCAGGAGCAGGAACACCAUUAAAAUGAUAAGACAGUAACUUAGAGACUGCAAUAAGCAAAAUCAACUUCUGUUUAAGAUUUAUUCAAGAUUUCAUAUUUCAUAUAUUUUUGCAACAUUUUGUUUAAACACUUUUCUUAUAUUUAUAACUACAUUUCAUCAACUGUAAAGAUAAACGUUCCUUUGUAAGCAUGUGGGUAACAAACUUUAAAGAACAAUGAUUUAUAAUUGAUACUUAAUAGUAUUUUAUCAUCAUAACAUCAAUUAAAUUAAAAAAGAAAAAGAAAAAAAGGAAAAAGAAAACACCAAUUGAAUAGUAUGAUUAAGGAAUCUAAAAAAGAAGAAAAAAAAGAAGAAAAAAAAAAAGAGAAAAAUAUUAAAAAAUAAGUUCAAAAUUUUUAUCCCUUAAAAUCAAAUACUAAAUGCUAAGUGUUUAUGUAUCCAUUAAUUUUUCGUCACUCAAUUGCUUGUCUUCUAUACUAUUUUGAGGUUUAAAUAUGGAUAUUGAUUAUUUACUUACAUUAAUAAUUAAAAGUUAUAAAUCCAUUUUCAAAUUAAUAUAGUAAACAUAAAAUUUUACACAAUUUCUCUUAAAUAUUCUUUAUUAUUUAUUUUAUUUUGGAGUCCAAAAUUUCUAAGGAGAGUGAUGUAUUGUGACAGAUAUUUGAACUACAUUUUGGACAUAGCUGAUGUUAAAAUUAUUAAUUAAAUUUUAUUUAAAUAAGAAAGGUAUUGAUUAUCUUAAUCAAUAUGUAUACCGUUAGAUAAUGCAAACAAUUCUCUGGUCAUUUAAAGAUUAUUUGUUAUCACCAAAGUCAAAUUGACCUCUCUAUCAUAUAUGUAACAUCUACUUAUGCAACAUUUUGACCUUAUUUCGGACAGUAAACUUAGAGAUAAUUUCUAAUCAAAUCGUGACAAAGAAAGCCACGUUGGCAUAACAUCAAUUUAAUGAUUGCUAUAUAAGUAGAAAUUCUGCUUUGAGACGUCAAAGUUUGAAUUUUGAAACUUAUAGGUGUCAGUCGAUCCCGGCCUGCCUCUACAUUGCCAACAACGACCGGCGGCUUGCUUUAACAGCGGCAAUGCCAAAUACCAUCGUCGGCAUUGUUCCCAGCUAGUUCCCAUCAAGAUUGAUCAAAGCUAGUUCCCACCUCAAAAAUGUAAGAUUCCAGAACCCACUCUCACAGAUGUAGUUCGUCUGUCGAGAGGCCGAGGGAAAACAGACCAUGCUUCACUCCCCGAAUAUUCAACAUUAUUUUGAUAUAA